UCUCCGUUGGUGAACCAGCGGAGGGAUCAUUACCGAGUUUACAACUCCCAAACCCAAUGUGAACCAUACCAAACUGUUGCCUCGGCGGGGUCACGCCCCGGGUGCGUCGCAGCCCCGGAACCAGGCGCCCGCCGGAGGGACCAACCAAACUCUUUCUGUAGUCCCCUCGCGGACGUUAUUUCUUACAGCUCUGAGCAAAAAUUCAAAAUGAAUCAAAACUUUCAACAACGGAUCUCAUGGUUCUG
RNAcentral lists this unclassified non-coding RNA (245 nucleotides) under plant metagenome. RNAcentral's name for it is "partial contains small subunit ribosomal RNA, internal transcribed spacer 1, and 5.8S ribosomal RNA". The record is from RNAcentral.